GGCUUGUCUAUCCCUCACAGUACCAAAUGAUUCCCUGGUUAUGAUUCUGAAAGCAAGGAAUUUAAUGCUGACAUACAUCAGAAGAAUAUCACUGGUUAGAAUGCUGCAGAUUACAUGUGUUACCUAAUGAAAGAUGACAAAGCUGCUUAUAAGAAACAGUUCUCUCAAUACAUAAAGAACAACAUAACCCCAGACCUGAUGGAGGAGUUGUAUAAGAAAGCUCUUGCUGCUAUGUAAAAGAACCCAGUUUAUGAGAAGAAGCCCAAUAAAUAGGCUAAAAAGAAGAGGUGGAACCAUCCCAAAAUGUCUCUUGCCCAGAAGAAAAAUCAGGGACCUCAAAACAAGGCAGGCUUCCUCAGAGCCCAGGAGUGGGCUGCUGAGAGCUAA
This 387-nucleotide long non-coding RNA is filed under the name Homo sapiens (human). Its description in RNAcentral is "non-protein coding lnc-CADM1-11:1". The record is from RNAcentral. Lineage: Eukaryota; Metazoa; Chordata; Mammalia; Primates; Hominidae.